RNAcentral lists this ribosomal RNA (324 nucleotides) under uncultured bacterium. RNAcentral describes it as "bacterial SSU rRNA". It matches the Rfam family "Bacterial small subunit ribosomal RNA", at positions 28 to 334 of the family's 1533-position model. The record is from RNAcentral.
GAUGAACGCUGGCGGCGUGCUUAACACAUGCAAGUCGAGCGAAGCACUUUUGCGGAUUUCUUCGGAUUGAAGCAACUGUGACUGAGCGGCGGACGGGUGAGUAACGCGUGGGUAACCUGCCUCAUACAGGGGGAUAACAGUUGGAAACGGCUGCUAAUACCGCAUAAGCGCACAGUACCGCAUGGUACCGUGUGAAAAACUCCGGUGGUAUGAGAUGGACCCGCGUCUGAUUAGCUAGUUGGUAAGGUAACGGCUUACCAAGGCGACGAUCAGUAGCCGACCUGAGAGGGUGACCGGCCACAUUGGGACUGAGACACGGCCCAA